GAGUUUGAUCAUGGCUCAGGACGAACGCUGGCGGCGUGCGUAAUACAUGCAAGUCGAGCGGACCUUCGGGUCAGCGGCGGACGGGUGAGGAACACGUGAGUCAUCUGUCGGUGGGUGGGGGAUAUCGGGCCGAAAGGCGCGGCAAUCCCGCAUACGUUCCUUCGGGAAGAAAGCUGGGCAACUGGCGCCCGCCGGGGAGCUCGCGGCCCAUUAGCUAGUUGGUAGGGUAACAGCCUCCCAAGGCGACGAUGGGUAGCCGGCCUGAGAGGGUGAACGGCCACACUGGGACUGAGACACGGCCCAGACUCCUACGGGAGGCAGCAGUAGGGAAUCUUCCACAAUGGGCUCAAGCCUGAUGGAGCAACGCCGCGUGAGUGAAGACGGCCUUCGGGUUGUAAAGCUCUGUCUGUCGGGACGAAGACCGGGACGGGAGUCCCGGGGAGCCGGUACCGACGAAGGAAGCCCCUGCAAACUACGUGCCAGCAGCCGCGGUAAGACGUAUGGGGCAAGCGUUGUCCGGAAUUACUGGGCGUAAAGGGCGUGUAGGCG
RNAcentral lists this ribosomal RNA (549 nucleotides) under uncultured bacterium. RNAcentral's name for it is "bacterial SSU rRNA". It matches the Rfam family "Bacterial small subunit ribosomal RNA", at positions 9 to 577 of the family's 1533-position model. The record is from RNAcentral.